Molecule: long non-coding RNA, 2941 nt
Organism: Lolium perenne
Lineage: Eukaryota; Viridiplantae; Streptophyta; Magnoliopsida; Poales; Poaceae
Source: RefSeq, a predicted model, not a curated record
UGCAGGAUUAUGUUCGUAAUCAGGGAUAUAUGUCUAUGCUCUCUUAGGAAUGUAUUUCUUUGCUUUCAUGAACGGGUCAGAUACACGGAGAGCUCCCGAAUUAGUCUCUUCUAUAGCAAUGUCAAUUUGUCUUGGGUAAAUGAGAGCCAAUGGGUUUCUGUGACACCAAUUUUGGUAAGCCUACAAAAUGGUUAGAAUGAGUUAUGCAACUGAUAAAUCAAAAUUCGCAAGCACUCCUAUAUAUAUAUAUAGGUACAAAAAGGAAGAUCCAUGGUUUCACCUGACACAAUAUUAGUUUCAUGUUGAUCAGAGUUGUAGAGAAAUAAGUUACAGUCCGUUUAUUCCUUUUGUACCAUGAAUUGAUAUGGAUAUUGUGAUUUAUAAUUUUAUGGCCUUUUUUCUGCUAUAAUAUUUGUUACUACAUUUUGACCCGUACAUCAUAAUUGCAACUUUUAAGUUGGCUUAGCUACUUCCUCCAAUGUUACAGCUUCUACUCUUCCAAGUAGAAACAAUGACAGAAACAGUGGAAUUAAUUUAAAUCUAGGGAUGACGGAAAUAUAUAUUCCUCAUCUCGCCAACCCCCGAAAUGUCAGGCCUCAACUUUAGAUAAUGAUUCUGAGUAGAUUGGAUGCAAGGCUAUACUUCUAGAUUUUUAUGUGGACCAUGAUUGUAUUUAGAGUUUGAGGCACUAAUUUAGAUGUUUACACCAUCAUAUUUGAUGGAGAAUAAAAAAAUUCGAAGUGGUGAUAAAUAAACAGAGCCAUUUGGUUUUACUUGCAACUGUCGGUUCAUCUGCACUCCGCAAAGCAUGAGAAGGUGGUGAGUGUUUUAGUUGUUCAGCCAAGAGGAGUUUGGUGGGUUAAUCAUCUCACCCCAAGAGCAUUAACAUUUUUCACUAUCACCUGGAAUGUUAAGCAUGAACAUUUUCUCACUUUGUUAUAUCAAUCAGUACUUUUGUUGUGGUCGUUCUUGGGAGCAGGCAUGUGCAUUUUACAGUAUUCAUUUAUAAAGGAUGUAGAUGUGUGUGCUUUUGAUCUCCGAAAAUAUCUCCCAGUUCUUGUAGUGCUUUGACAUGAGAACAAGUGCAGAGUUCAGAGAGACCCCCUCUCAAUCAUGCAUGCAAUAAAUCGCUAUUAUUCAUUAAAUGAUGGAUUUCUGCUCCUAAUAAACUGAAAUUGUGCUACUCCUGGUACAAUCAUUUACUGAUAAUCGUGUUUGCAGAAUGAUUACAGUUUGGCCAUGUACUUAUCUAAGCCCAUGGAGUUGCCAGCUUUCAUUUUGUUUUGCAAGUUCCUUCCCCUACGAUGUGGUUGUUUGAGACAAGGUUCGAGAUUUAUGUUUUGCAAGCUAAUUUAUAGGAUUUGGGCAUUGUUGUAACUAUUUUUUUUCAAUCAAAGCAUAACUUAUCCAACAAUUAUUGUGGAGUGUGGUGGUUGUAUGCAGAACCAUGCAUGUUCUGAAAAUAUCCUUCCACAUUAUUAUUAGCCAUGUCUUUUUUUUUGGAUGUCUCGUAUUUUAGUGUGUCUUUGUCUUGAUUUUAACAAAGACGUGUGUUGCACAUUAUUAUUAGGCAUAUAUGUUUUUGAUAGAUCAUUGUUGAUGUAGGACAAUGGGAGCAAUCUCUACAGAUCUUUGUUGAUAUUUCAGAAUGGUGUUUCCCUGAAAGAACAUUUUUGAACAUGCAACUUUAAUUAUGAUGAUGCUGACACUUGUCAGCUAUCGGACCAGUGCAGUUACUUCAGGAAGCAAGUAAAUGCAUUGGAGAAGUUCUUUUUGUUGAGCUUCCUAUGAGGCUUUUUUCAAUGGUUCUAUACUGCUGGAGGUAGCUGUAGAUUUCAGAGCUUCCACUAAAUUAGUCCUUCAAACUUAUAUACUGUACUCCUUAUUACCUAGGGGCAUUUUUAUCUUGGCCUGAACAUCUGAAAGUAAAGUUGGCCGUACUGUACUUAUAUACUCCAUUAUUCUGUAGAAGUGUAGUGUAAUGCAGCUGCAAAUUGCAAGUUUGCAAAUUUCAGGUGGUCGGGUGGUAGCACUUCUUCUGGUGGUAACCGCUACACUUGUUCUUCAAGGAGCUUUGCCAAGACGGCAGGGAGGAUGUCAAGGACGACAGCAAGCUUGGAGUCCAGGUCGCCAAAGAAGGUGGCGAGGUGGGGCCCUGGAGCAGCGCCCACGCACGGCCGACGGAGGUGACGUAUGGCUCGCGGAAGCAGAGGCCCGUGCAUCGGAGAAGCGGCCCUGCGGCGGCGCGCCGUCGAGGAGGAGCGACUCGAGGAGCAGCGUGAGCCGGCAUAGCAGCGGAGCAGGAGCCGCCGUCGAGCUCGUUGACCAGCACAAGCCGACGGAGCAGCGGCGCUGCGGAGCAGAGCAGGAGGCACCGGCGAGCUCGUAGACCAGCAGAAGCCGGCGAAGCAGUGGCGCAACGGAGCAGAGCGUAGCGGAGCUCCCUGGCUGGACGCGGGCUUGGCCGAGCUUCCCUGCUGGAGGCCAGCUUGUUGGAGCAGGUGGAUCGAUCGAUUCGGCAAGGGAGCAGGUGCAGGUGCAUGCUCGCCCAGGAGGCCAGGAAGCGUAUCGAUCGAUCUGGCAGGAAACAUGCUGUAUAGAGUUAGUGGCUCCUGGACAAUAUUUUCCAAGUGGCGAAGUCAUAUUUUCCAAGAGCAAGUGUGUUGUCCGAUCGAAGUGGCGAAGUCAUAUUUUCCUAUAAUCCCGGUCAUUAUUGAAGAGCAUGUUAGUGUGGCAGGUGUAGUUGACUAGCAUGAUCCAACUAUAGAGAUCGCUGAAGGAAACAUAUAGAAGGAGUAUGGUAGCACUUUGAUAGUGUUUUUAAAACUGAAGGUGAAGAGGAGGUGUUGAGCAAUUGAAGAAAUACGUGGAGGAUCUAGAGAUAACCACUUUGAUAGUGGAGAUUUUGUAUAAAUUAACACGAGAGAUAUUUCUGUAAGUA